Long non-coding RNA from Physeter macrocephalus (sperm whale), 2267 nucleotides. RefSeq lists it as uncharacterized. The transcript has 13 exons. NCBI's taxonomy places the organism in Eukaryota, Metazoa, Chordata, Mammalia, Artiodactyla, Physeteridae. The record is from RefSeq and is a predicted model, not a curated record.
UCAGCUCCGGAACGCUGGGUAGGGACGGAGGUGACGGGACAGAAGAGGUGCGAGAGGAGGGGCUGUCCCUGCGGCAUAGAGGUGGGCCUGAGGUUCGGCGACGCCGCUCGGGGUGCCCAGCGCCACGCCCGGGAGAGGGACCGCCGUGUCCGCGUCCCGCCUCCUCUUCCGCCGCUACCGGCCCUGCCCCGCCCACAGAGUCCGAUGGUGCGGCGGCGCUGAGGGACCCGCCUGAGGGCAGUGUGACUUUUGAAGAUGUGGCCAUGAACUUUUCCUUGGAGGAAUGGGGUCUCCUUGACGAGGCUCAGAGAUGCCUGUACCAUGAUGUGAUGCUGGAGAACUUGGCACUUAAAACCUCCCUGGAGUCAACAUGUACAUCUCCAGCAUUUCUCUGCUUUCCGGUUGUUGGCAUGGAGAAGAGGAUGAGGAGGCACUUUCUGAGCAGAGUAUCUCUGAUCAAGGAAGCUCACAGAUCAGAAUUGUUAAGGCAGUAUGUCAACGCUUGAGAUCCCUCCUUGUGGUACCAUCUGAAUUGAACCUCAUACAUCCAAACAUCUGCAAACAUCCCAGGUGCCCUCAUGUGACAUUUAUUUUGAGAGUCAUCACCUCCUACAUUGUUUUUUGGUUGGCAUUACACGGUGUCAGAAGUGGGAUACAGAGCGACCUGCAAAAGCCCUCACCAACUCUUAUCUAACACUGCCUUGGAUUCAGUUAAGGUGCCUGCAAGAGCCUAUUAUGCUUUAUCAUCUCUUUGGUGAUCCCAGAUCGUGGUGGUGAGUCCUCCUGUACCUAAGCCACCCAUGUUGGUGGAAGUUCUAGUUUAUUUGGGUGUCCUCUGUUGCCAGCUUCUGUCCUCUAGGAUUUUGUUUCCUGUUUUGAGCAGCCUCCAGCAUUUUGCUUCCUGUUUGUUUUUUGGGUGUUUUUUAUUUUAUUGAAAUAUAGUUGAUUUACAAUGUUGUGUUAAUUUCUUCUGUGCAGCAAAGUGACUCAGUUAUAUAUAUAUAUGUAUAAUCUUAUUCAUAUUCCUUUCUAUUGUGGUUUGUCACAGGAUAUUGAGUAUAGUUCCCUGUGCUAUAUAAUAGGACCUUGUUUAUCCAUCCUUUAUAUAAUAGUUUGCCUCUGCUAAUCCCAUACCCCCAAUCCUUCCUUCUACUACCCGCCUUCCGCCUUGGCAACCAUACGUUUAUUCUCUAUGUCUGUGAGUCUGUUUUUCUUUUGUAGCAUACCCAUUCCACAGGCAGGGAAACUGAGUGUCCAGAACCAGGGGACAGUCCUGCUGCUGGGAAGAGGCAGAGCAGAGACCUGAACCCCUGUGGCAGAAGUAUCUCAGGGUGCCUCCUGUGUAUACAGGUGCCCUGGGCAGUUCCCUGCUGGCUGAAGACACAGGUGCAGCUGCCAGUUUUAGGACUCAGAAAUGUCUUUCUCAAGAACCUGCUUUCUCCUCAAACUGCAGACAUCAGGGAGUUAGCUCAUUUAUCAGUUCUUGUGCCAGGAUAGGAGUCUCAUCUUAGUGGAUGCUGUGGUCCAACUUAAAAAACUACCUCCUAUUACAAAGAUGAGAAGUUUGUGUUUCCUGUGGCUAAAACCAAUAAGCAAACACAGAUAGUCACCCCAAUUACCAGGAACUUCCAAUACUAUGUUAAACAAAAGUGACAAGAGUGGGCAUCCUUGUCUUGUUCCUCAUAUUAGAGGGCUCUUCAGGGUGUGUGUUGAAAAAUCACAGCUUGUGGCUGACGUGACCAGACACAGGGCCGUGUCGAUUUUCUUCGGGAAAAUGUAGAGCUGCAUCCACAUGGAGGGUAGCUAAGUUUCCUCUGGACCUGCUGGGAGGUGCUGGCCUGGUAGGGAAAGGUUUUCAAAGCAACUGCAUGAAUGCUUGGAGGCCUACCAGGUGGUCUGCAGGUGUUAGCCUAUUUUGGCUUUGGACCAUGGUGCCCAACGGUGUCUCCAGGGGCCAUUAUCUCCAUUUCAUCAGCAAGAAAGGGGAGUUGCUGUUGUUACUCAUCCUCCAGUGAUGGGUAUCGUCAUUUCGGGAGGUUAGCAGGACUCAGAGGGGACACGGGUUUGAGCCUUGGUCUCAGAAGGUCCCACAUGCUGCGGAGCACCUAGGCCUGUGAACCACACUACUGAGCCUGCGUGUCUGGAGCUUCUGCUCCACAACGAGAGGCCGCGACAGUGAGAGGCCCGCGCACCGUGAUGAAGAGUGGCCCCUGCUCGCUGCAACUAGAGAAAGCCCUCGCACGGAAACGACAACCCAACACAGCCAA